This is a transfer RNA of 89 nucleotides. It matches the Rfam family "tRNA". Rfam says of the family: Transfer RNA (tRNA) molecules are approximately 80 nucleotides in length. Their secondary structure includes four short double-helical elements and three loops (D, anti-codon, and T loops).
GCCCUCUUAGCUCAAUCGGAAGAGCGCCAGACUUUUAAACCCAAAACCAGGUCAUCUGGCGGUCGUGAGUUCGAGCCUCACAGAGGGCG